Long non-coding RNA from Diachasma alloeum, 805 nucleotides. RefSeq lists it as uncharacterized. The transcript is spliced from 2 exons. The record is from RefSeq and is a predicted model, not a curated record. NCBI's taxonomy places the organism in Eukaryota, Metazoa, Arthropoda, Insecta, Hymenoptera, Braconidae.
GUCCCUCUCGCGAACCUGAAUGUUCCCCUGUCACGUACCUUUAAACAAUCUCCUGAAAAUUAUGAAGAGGCAGACAGUGUCGGAGUGUUUCGUUGCUGAAAUCUCUAAGCAUCAGAAGCCCAAAGCCCCCAGGAAAGGAAAAUCCAUGGAGAUGAAAUACUAAAAAAAACCCUCCGAAUUGCCUAAAAUCAGAACUAAAAAAGCUGGCGAAAUCUCCGAAAAAUGAAGAGACAGAUAACAGAUAACUGGCAGGAGACGUUCGAGCUCUCCAGUGGACGAAAUGGGCUGCCACAAAAGUGCUCGGACGAAAAAGCGAGUCUUUCAGAUUUUCGAUUCCAGUUGCUGCUAGAUCUUGUGUUGAUCAGUCAAACAAAGGAUUAGGUGACAUACGCAGCUAUGGAGAGACUCCAAAAUUAUGGGUGUACUCCGGAUCUUCUGAUCAAGACUCCUGACAGUGUUCUUAGGAAAUUAAUUCAUCCUGUUAAUUUUUAUGAGAUGAAAAGUAUUCGAACCUUCUGAAAAGUUUGGAAAAGUAAUGAGCUAUUCGAUCACUGUGAAUAGUUUUCUGAAACUGUUGGUUUUAAAGGGAAAUGUUAAAAAACAUUUUUCAAAGACGUGAAAUUCUCUACAAAAAAUGUCCCCUCUCGAUUUUUUUAAAGCUGUGUCUUUCAUAUAUUUUGACAGAAGGAAUGAAAAACCAGCUUAGAACUCCUAAACCUAUUUCUAAUCCUGUUUAGAUUUAACCUGUUAAUUUUUAUAAGAUGAGGAUAUUGUUUCAAUAAUUAUGCUACAAAUAUUUAUGAAA